Molecule: ribosomal RNA, 727 nt
Filed under: Chlorella sp. 2009100806
Lineage: Eukaryota; Viridiplantae; Chlorophyta; Trebouxiophyceae; Chlorellales; Chlorellaceae
Description: eukaryotic LSU rRNA
Rfam family: 5.8S ribosomal RNA (bases 290-443)
Source: RNAcentral
CUGCGGAAGGAUCAUUGAAUCGAUCGAAUCCACACCGGUAACCAAACGUCGCCCCCCUGUGGUGCAUUCUCCGGAUCUCCGGCGUUUCACCCUGGGCGUCGGCCCCUGGGCUGGGGCUCUCACGAGCCGCUUUUCAGGUCCGACGGGCGCCUCCCUUGGGCUCACCCCCUGGGGCUGGCGUCGGCCAAAACCCCUGUAUCCAACCUUUUUUUAACACACCCCAAACCACAACCAACUCUGAAGCAUCUUUGGUGGCCCGGCCUCGUGCCGUCCACUCCAAACCAAAGACAACUCUCAACAACGGAUAUCUUGGCUCCCGUAUCGAUGAAGAACGCAGCGAAAUGCGAUACGUAGUGUGAAUUGCAGAAUUCCGUGAACCAUCGAAUCUUUGAACGCAAAUUGCGCCCGAGGCUUCGGCCGAGGGCAUGUCUGCCUCAGCGUCGGUUUACACCCUCGCCCUCCCCCACCCUGUGUGGUGGGGUGUUGGUGCGGAUCUGGCCCUCCCGGCUCCGCUCUGUUGAGCGCCCCGGGUUGGCUGAAGCCCAGAGGCUUGAGCAUGGACCCCGUUUGUAGGGCAAUGGCUUGGUAGGUAGGCACCCCCUACGCAGCCUGCCGUUGCCCGAGGGGACUUUGCUGGAGGCCCAGCAGGAAUCCAGCUGUUCGGCAGCCGGACUACUCACUCAUUCGACCUGAGCUCAGGCAAGACUACCCGUUUAAAAAUUAAAAA